This is a non-coding RNA of Takifugu rubripes (torafugu), 45 nucleotides long. Lineage: Eukaryota; Metazoa; Chordata; Actinopteri; Tetraodontiformes; Tetraodontidae. The record is from Rfam.
ACAAAGGCCCUUUUAAGGGCCAACCAUGUGUUCCUGAAAGAGCAA